AGUGAACGCUGGCGGUAGGCCUAACACAUGCAAGUCGAACGGCAGCACAGUAAGAGCUUGCUCUUACGGGUGGCGAGUGGCGGACGGGUGAGGAAUACAUCGGAAUCUACUUUUUCGUGGGGGAUAACGUAGGGAAACUUACGCUAAUACCUCAUACGACCUACGGGUGAAAGCAGUGGAUCUUCGGACCUUGCGCGAUUGAAUGAGCCGAUGUCGGAUUAGCUAGUUGGCGGGGUAAAGGCCCACCAAGGCGACGAUCCGUAGCUGGUCUGAGAGGAUGAUCAGCCACACUGGAACUGAGACACGGUCCAGACUCCUACGGGAGGCAGCAGUAGGGAAUAUUGGACAAUGGGCGCAAGCCUGAUCCAGCAAUACCGCGUGAGUGAAGAAGGCCUUCGGGUUGUAAAGCCCUUUUGUUGGGAAAGAAAAGAAGCAGGUUAAAACCUCGACGUUUUGACGGUACCCAAAGAAUAAGCAACGGCUAACUUCGUG
This 492-nucleotide ribosomal RNA is filed under the name uncultured bacterium. Its description in RNAcentral is "partial 16S ribosomal RNA". It matches the Rfam family "Bacterial small subunit ribosomal RNA", at positions 29 to 507 of the family's 1533-position model. The record is from RNAcentral.